RNAcentral lists this ribosomal RNA (253 nucleotides) under uncultured bacterium. RNAcentral describes it as "partial 16S ribosomal RNA". It matches the Rfam family "Bacterial small subunit ribosomal RNA", at positions 524 to 776 of the family's 1533-position model. The record is from RNAcentral.
UACAGAGGAGCCAAGCGUUGUCCGGAUUGACUGGGCGUAAAGCGUCCGCAGGUGGCAAUGUAAGUCUGCUGUCAAAGCGUCUGGCUCAACUAGAUAAAGGCAGUGGAAACUACAUAGCUAGAGUAAGGUAGGGGUAGAGGGAAUUCCUGGUGUAGCGGUGAAAUGCGUAGAGAUCAGGAAGAACACCGGUGGCGAAAGCGCUCUGCUGGACCUUAACUGACACUGAGGGACGAAAGCUAGGGGAGCGAAUGGG